RNAcentral lists this unclassified non-coding RNA (211 nucleotides) under Hevea brasiliensis (rubber tree). The record is from RNAcentral. Lineage: Eukaryota; Viridiplantae; Streptophyta; Magnoliopsida; Malpighiales; Euphorbiaceae.
GCAAGCAAGGAGUUCAGGUUGUUGCAGUAGAUCAUAGGAUUAAUUUCCUUCCAUGCUGCAGUUCCUAUUUGUUGUUUCAGAUCAUUGUAUGGCACCGUUUGGGGUUUUGUAUAUCAGGCUCUAAACUUUUUGAUCAGCCAAAGUAUUGUACAGUAGAAUAGAAGCUAAAGAACAUAAGAGAGGCAAGCAAUAAUAUUAUUUGAGAGAGGCG